GGCGGUCCGCUGCCCGCGACGUCGAAAGAAGUCCACUGAACCUUAUCAUUUAGAGGAAGGAGAAGUCGUAACAAGGUUUCCGUAGGUGAACCUGCGGAAGGA
Molecule: ribosomal RNA, 102 nt
Filed under: Azorella hydrocotyloides
Lineage: Eukaryota; Viridiplantae; Streptophyta; Magnoliopsida; Apiales; Apiaceae
Description: partial 18S ribosomal RNA
Rfam family: Eukaryotic small subunit ribosomal RNA
Source: RNAcentral